RNAcentral lists this long non-coding RNA (604 nucleotides) under Mytilus galloprovincialis (Mediterranean mussel). The record is from RNAcentral. Lineage: Eukaryota; Metazoa; Mollusca; Bivalvia; Mytilida; Mytilidae.
CAAGAAAAUCGUUUGUCUGUUUUUUUUUCACAAACAACUGCAUAAUAUCGCAAUACAUUUUUGUAUCAAUUUUGACAUAGGAAAUCGCACGUUUGCUGUCUGUCAUAUACGUUUUUUCGUUUAUGGUUGAUUUUGCAUACAUCAUGCCGUAGAUUUUCUCGUUCGAAUUGUUUUAAAUUUCGUCAGGUUGAGGCUUUAUAUAUCCUUGAUAUGGUGUCUUCCUGGAAUCCCUUUAUUUUAUGAAAAAUCUACUCCGGCUCCCGUUUUCACCAGUUACGCGAAAGACAAUUGCGCUACCAACACAAUAAACAUUUGCGCUUUAAAUCAUAAUACAUCUGGACCGGACAUUUGCGCUUUUUCUAUGAUAGUUUAACAAUCAUAUUACGCGCGUUUCGUCUACAUAAGACUCAUCAGUGACCCUCAUAUCAAAAUAUUUAUUUACAAGUACAAAGUUGAAGAGCAUUGAGGAUCCAAAAUUCCAAAACGUUGUGCCAAAUACGGCUAAGGUAAUUUAUGCCUGGGAUAAGAAAAUCCUUAGUUUUUCGAAAAAUUCAAAGUUUUGUAAACAAGAAAUUUAUAAAAAUGACCACAUUAUUGAUAUUCA